UAUUGUCCUUUCUUACACAGAAAGUUAGCAUGCUAGAUAUACUGUUUUGCAUAUUGUUUUUAGUUUAUUCUCACUUUGUCUAUCCUGAAGCUCACUCCGUAUCAGCAUAGAUACAGUUCUUACUUACGGCAGCUUAGAGCUUAACCUUCUUCAUUCUUUUUGUUCCUGCUGCAUAGACUCCAUUGUAUACAUGAACCAUGCUUUAGUCAAGCAGCUCCCUGUGGAUGGACAUUUGGGUCCUUUUCAGUCAUUUCCUGUUGUAAACAGUGCCAUACGCUUGCUUUGUAUUCAUAGCUAACCCGUUUUUCAUCUCUGAACUCUUUUUAUCAUGUCUCUCUCUUUUUUGUUCUGGAUGUUUUUGUUAUGGU
Molecule: long non-coding RNA, 368 nt
Organism: Phyllostomus discolor (pale spear-nosed bat)
Lineage: Eukaryota; Metazoa; Chordata; Mammalia; Chiroptera; Phyllostomidae
Exons: 3
Source: RefSeq, a predicted model, not a curated record